Molecule: long non-coding RNA, 4124 nt
Filed under: Mytilus galloprovincialis (Mediterranean mussel)
Lineage: Eukaryota; Metazoa; Mollusca; Bivalvia; Mytilida; Mytilidae
Source: RNAcentral
UUUUAUCGAACAGCAUUUAUAAAAUUCGUAGGUCAUCUGUAUAUAUUUUUAGAUGAUUCGCAUAUAAUUAAUGGCUUGAACUGUCAAUACUUUUCGGUGUCAUUCUAGGUGAAAUUAAUAUGCCAUGGUACAUACAGUUAGUGUGGGUUCUUGUUUGAGACGAUUAAUGGUAUAGCCCUCAGUGUAACCGUGGGAUUCUACAGCGCGCUUGAACUUUGUAAGUACAUUGGCAAAUGCAGACCUUUUAGCUGAUUGCAAUAAUAUGAUGUUAUACAAAGUCACAACAUACAUAAUACCGAGUGAUUUAAGGAGGUAGACCUAGAAUAAGGGAAACUGUUUUAGGUAAGGCUUAAAUUAAAAUAUUGUUUGUUUGCCCUUUACCGACCGACCCUGUCAAUUCGUUCCGCCUGAAAAUCUUUUAUUUGUAUUUACCAGCAAGAUUUUAUUUUUAUUUAUCUUUUCGUUCCUACCAAAAAUCUUAUAUUUGUAUUUCCCGCUCAAAACUGUUUUACCGGAAUCCUCGGGUUUUAUCUUUACCGUAUAAGGUCUAGUCCGUUUGGUAUCUCGUGAGCGUUUAACAUGAACACUUGCAUAUAGAGUUUCAAAGCAUUUGUUUGAAAUCGAUGUUGAACGCUUUGAGAAAACAUGAUGAUAUGACGUUAGCUGCGAAAACGUAGCUCUUAAGGUCCUUUUGAUGAUUUUUGAUAUUUGCGGACCAUAGAUCUAUGGCAAAAAAAAAAAUCAAAGGACAAUAGAGCUACGUUUUUCGCAGCUAGAUAUGACGUACGUUACUCUGUAUCUUUAUACUUGGAGAGCAGGGUUCACUUACAAAAAAGUUCGUUUAAUGCAAAAUUAUCAACGUGUGUACAAACUUUUUUGUAAACGGACGUUGUAUUCUAUGUACAGUAGGGAUGGCCUUUUGUGAUCCGUAGAUCAGGAUGAUUAUGUUAAAGAUGCCUUCGACCAGCAUUGCUGUAUUAUUUAUAUCUGACAUGAACCAAAGGUGGCAAAAGCCUGUAAAGUGGAGAAUAUUUGGCAGUAAAAGCUCCCAAGUUUUCCAAACAGAUCAUUUAUAAAUUGCGAUGUAGAAUACGUACCCGAAUGGAAUAGACUACCAGAAUCUCGUUUGUGCUAAGACAAUUGAGAGCUUUAAACUUCGGUUGCUCUCACAACGUUGGAUUAAUUUUCCAGCGCCUCUCUCCCAUUGCCACUGAUGCCAUAUAUACUGGCCCUGCAACGUACUUAUUCAGAUUUAUACUAAUAGUCCCAUCAACUUAUUAGCAAAAGCAAAACAGACAAAAAUGACAUUAUGCAGAUUUUGUAUAUUAUGUCUCUUGUCACUUGUGUAUACAAUGUACUAUGUUUGCAUUUUAACCCGUCAGGGUUUCAUGUUUUUUUGCAAUAUAAAAUAAAAUAUUAUACCUACCUGCCUACCCAUGACAAAAAAUAUAUCGAGCCAAAUUAUUUUUUUUGGGAAAAAAAUAAAAUAUUUUACCUACCUACCUACCCUGUUUCAAAACAUAGGGUCGGAAAAGGGCAAACAAACAAUAUUUUAAUUGGUGUCUUCUCAUUUAUCCAACUUUUUAAAAUAAUGUAUUCUCAUUUAGCCAACUUUUUAUUUUGUUAAUUAUUGGGUUGUUUGUUUAGUAUUAAUAAGGUGUCUUUCUAAAAUUUGACAGUAAAUUUGUUCCUGUAUGUUUUUAUAUUAUUUAAAAAAAUAUAUAUAUAAUAGGCGAUAGUAAACUUGUUAUAUUUUAUUUUGAAAUAAAAUUUAGUAUAUUUUUAAUAAUAAGUAAUGAAGAACUGGAUCUUUCAUCACUGUAUUGGAUACCUAAACUACAUAAGUGUCCUUAGAAACAACGGUAUAUUGCUAGGUCUUCCUAGUGCUCCACGAAACCUUUUUCUAGAUUAUAAACAUUUAUUUUAUCAGCAAUCAAAGCCAGGCUUCAAAGUUAUUGUAAAACUGCCUAUUCUAGAGGUGGCGUGAAUCAGAUGCGGAUACUAAAAAGUCUUUUAGAGUACUUACAAUCUAACUCUCUUUCAUCUUGCAAGUUUUAAAACAUUUGACUUUUCAGGGGCGAAUGCAGGAAUUUUCGAAAGGGGGGGGUGCUAACCCAGGGCACCCAGGUCAAAGGGGGGGUGCAAAACAUAUGUCCCGAUACAAAUGCAUUGAUCGGCAAAAAUAAAGGGGGGGUGCGCACCCCCGGACCCCCCCCCCCUGGAUCCACCACUGCUUUUCUACACUUUACACAAGUAUUCCACAUUCCAAACUAAAAGACAAAUUGAAAGAGUUGGUAUUGCUUUGUUUUAUAAAAAAAGAAUGGUCAACGUAGAGACAAGUAUCUUGUCUUAGGGACCAGUUAAACAAAGCUCAUCCUAAUCUGUUCCUCAUCAUACAGAAGCUUCAGAAAUUGACUCAUCCAGUAUACCGCAGGGGGGAAAUGCAAGACUCGCAAGUUAAAGUACCGCAACAUAGACAACAGACUGACCCAACUUAAACUUAGACUACAGCAAUGUAGAUCAACGUAUAUCACUACACUGAUGCAGUAUCCCAACUACUUAAACUAGGAUGAAGAUCUACUGAACAUUCCUUUGGUGUGUGCUAUGGAUAUUUCUGUGCUACGUUCUUUAACCAUUGUGCUUGCAUUACUAUUUAAAAAAAAUGUAUGAUGUGUGUAUCUACUGAACAUUUCUUUAGUGCCAUUGUAUGUUUUGUGAAUCUACUGAACAUUCAUUUAGUCACGGUCUGCUAUUGAUAUUUCUAUGCCAGUAUUUUAUAACCAUUGUGCUUGAAUUGCUUUUGCUUUUGUUUAUAUAUAUAUUUUUUGUUCUGUUCAGUUUUAACAUGCUAUGCUAAAUAAUACUACAGAAAAUUUAAUCUGGGUAUAAUUUUCAGUCUUAUUUUUCACCUGUCAUUAAACCCAAACUCUAAUUGAACAACCCUUUGUUCUUGAUUACCUUUGAUCUCGUCUAUCCAACUUUUUUUUUUACCUGUACUACCUAUAAUUUUAAAAAGUUGGAUAAAUGAGAAUGAACCUUUUAAUUUAGGCCUAAAUGCUUAAGUAAACAUACAUUGAUAAAACUUUACUUUUACAAACGCAUCACUGAUUUAAAGAGUUAUCUCCCUGAACCAAGGUAUACAUUUAAUGUUCAUUAUCACUGAGCUAGUAUAUAUUUGUUUAGGGGCCAGCUGAAGGACGGCUCCGGGUGCUGGAAUUUCUCGCUACAUUGAAGACCUGUUGGUGACCUUCUGCUGUUGUUUUUUCUAUGGUAAGGUUGUUGUCUCUUUGACACAUUCCCCAUUUCCAUUCUCAAUUUUAUUUAAUGUGCCAUAAUUAUGCGUAUUGCGAUUUAUUCAUUUAUUGUGUUGCUGGAAAUCAAAUAUUUGAAGUAAACAAAAAAUCUGAGAGCUUUUCGCACUCGUACAUCGAAUUGAUCAAACAGCCUUAAGAACAAAUAGGAGUAACAAUUCUGGUUGACAUAAAAGUUAUGUAACACUAGACAUGCUUAAAUCUUCUUGAUUUAUUUUUAGCUACGCAUCCAGCAAGCAUCAAGUUCCACGCCAUCAAUUCUGUCUACGUCAUCCUGAACUUGUCUGUAUGCGCAAAAGUGAUAAAUCUAUUCCACGUGAUAUAUCCAAUGAUAUUCGGCAUUGUGUUCGUCACUUUAACAAUAAUAAAUCAACUUGGAUUUGAAAAGGAUUAAAUAUAUCCUAUACUAGACUUGAAUGAGAUAUAUCCUACAGCCGUUACUGUGGCAGUGUUGAUUUUUGUUGGAACUCCAAUUCUACAUCUGGUUCUAUUUGGAUUAUACAAACUGCGCAUCUUCGUCGCAAGAAGCUGUUGGCCAUAGCGAUCAAGUAGAAAACAGCAUUGAGAUCGAUACUGUGUAUGACAGUCAGAGAAAAAGAGACGAAAAUGUUUGAAAAACAAUCAUACAAGAUUUUUAUUUUCUUUAUCCCGACUCGUCCUUCAUUCAUAAGUAAAGACACCAAAACAAAAAUACAUCAACAUAUUGCAUGUUUGUUCUUGUCUUUCAUUCUUAUCAAAUAUAUUAUUUAUCCUCCAAAUGAAAUAAAUUUUGUUUUGUGGUCCUUUUUAUUAAUACCUCAUAACGUAACCCCG